Capra hircus (goat) is the source of this 1877-nucleotide long non-coding RNA. RefSeq lists it as uncharacterized. Lineage: Eukaryota; Metazoa; Chordata; Mammalia; Artiodactyla; Bovidae. The record is from RefSeq and is a predicted model, not a curated record. The transcript has 4 exons.
ACCCAGGUCCCCUGCAUUGAAGCGUGUGAAGUCUUAACCACUGGACCAUCAGGGAAGUCUGCAGGUGCUCCUUUUUGGGAUUCCUCUUCUCCCAUUCAGGCCGUGAACAGGGUAAGAAGUGGAAAACACCCUGGGCCGAGGCAGCGCCUGCAGCUUGCUUUGUUUUGUUUUGAAAUUGCUUGAGAGAGAUCUUCCUUGUACCUCCUAAGCUGCCUGUCAUAUGUGAAAAGCCAGAACAGGACUCUUAAGAUUCUAUAAAUGAAUUCGUUUUGGAAAACAGGGUUCUUUGCUGGGCGGGAAGGAACUGUAGCAAUCACUGGGUCCAGCGUGUCACUUACAGAUGUGCAGAAUGAGGCCCGCGACCUGGACCCGGCAGCCAUAGGCCAGUCUAACCUCUGCCCCAGGGCUCUCUCACACUCUCCCAAGCACUCCAGGCUCAGCUGAACAGCUCACACUUGUUUUCUGCAGAGUGAAACUCAACUCGAUGCAUCAAGACACAAUCGAUAGCUUCAGAGCUGGGCCCAAGUGAGUCCUCCCCAGACUUCCCUGGCCUCUCUGCUGAGCCCCAGCCAGUCCCAAGCAACAGCCCCAGGUCAGGAUGGUACCUGCCCUCCAGUCUUUAUCCCUGGAGCUCCUUCAGAAGAUGGGUGCUGUCAUUCCUGCUUUUCAAUAUGGACAUCAAGGCUGGGAGAGGUGCAAAGGAAAUUGCCCCUUGUAAGUGUCUGUGUGUCUCAAGCCCCCACUCCCUCAGCCACCACCAGGAUUGUUUCGGCGCCUGUCAGUUGAAUUUGCACUAAUGAGAUUAAAGUCGGUGUGUUGGAACGUUCACACAUUUUUGCCCAGAUCCGUUCAAAAUUCCUAAGGGGGUGUGGCUGCACAUGCACCGAUGACCGCCCGCCAGAAGGCCAAGGACAGCUGGCUGAUGGACGGCAUUCUACACGCCAGUGCCCUGGAACAGAUGGUGCCCAGAGGCCAACCCGUGUGCUCCAUGGAUGAGCAGGUGAAAUUUGGGAAGCUGAGUCAGCUGUGGAAGAAUCUUCUCCCUCAUUCCUACACACACACACACACACACACACACACACAUUACGGGGCCUCUUCAGUUCUGGAAGUCUGCUCCUCUCUUUUCAGUUCCUAUCAGGUCCUCCUGUUUGCUUAGUCAAUAGAAUAUGCUGACACUUGACUUGGUUGUACAUUUUUGAUGCCAUGUACAUAUGGUGGCCCCUCCUGGAUUCCUCAUGUCUAUCACUACACACAAUGGCGUCUUGCUCACCAGUGUGUGAAAGAGGCUGUGGCUCAGUGAUAUAGGAAGUUCAAGUUAGGACUUAGAGGGUGAAGUAAGAGGCCGGAGUAACUAGGGUUGAUAGGAGUGUGCAGCUCUGCUCUAAUGGUUGAGGAAGUAACAGGGAACUUCAGUGGAAAAGAAAUGGGAGUUUGGGAGGCCUGUGUGAGAAGUGAGCACACCUCAGUUGGAGGUGGCUGGUUCUGAAUGUCAACAGCUCAUGGGUGUCAUCCACGGCAUCAGAAAGGUUUGUCGAGACCUUGGGAAGUAUGCAACUGUCUUCUACUCUGUCUCUGAUUCCUAUUGACUUAUGUCACUUCCCAUCAUCCAUUUCCAUUGGCCCCAAAAGCUUGCCAAGGGCACCCUGCUAAUUAAUUCCCCAUUGCCUGUGAGCUCAGGUAUGCUUUGGUGAUGAUUUCUAGGUUUGGGGAAAAACCAGUUUUGGGCUCUUAUGGUAUCCCUGCUGGUCGUGAUUUCUGCCUCAGACUUCUCUGUGGCAUCAGAUGACUGUGCCAUUAUUUCAUUUAGCACUUAUUGGAGACCUACUUGAGAGCAGGAAAUGACCUUGUUGUUGGUUAGUCACCAAGUCGUGUCUGAC